GCUUAACUAGCUAGCUAAUUCAUCAAGGUAAUUACAAAGCUUAACUAGCUAGCUAAUUCAUCAAGGUAAUUACAAAGCUUAACUAGCUAGCUAAGUCAUCAAGGUAAUUACAAAGCUUAACUAGCUAGCUAAUUCAUCAUCUCAUUUAUAAAACUGAACUAAGCUAAUUCAGUCAAUUUAACAUUAAAUCAACACACGUCUUUAGAUUUAACGGUGGAUUUUAGGACAAUAUCUUACUAAGAAAAAAAAGUCUCUUAGCUUUUGAGAUUUUUUCUUCAACAAGUACGUCAAACUGAAAAUGUAGAGUAAAACCUAUGUUGUUUUUCUCUUUAAAUUCUACUUGAGUAAAGUACAGAUUUUCCCAAAGAGUACUUAAGUACAGUAACGACGUACAGUUACUCAAGUAUUUCCCGCUCUACAGUUAAUACUCUAGCUAGCACUUAGCUACAUUAGCCUCGUAGCUGCCUUACAAACGUCAGACAGCAAACAUGGCUGACUGACGACAUUUAGGAGAAGUGGGAAAUUGCUGUAAUGUGUUAAUGUGACGGCUGACGGCUGAACUGAUCCCGAUCCGGUCAGCGAUGUAACACCAGCAGUAGCAUGACACCAGGAUUAGCAUUUCUACCUGUUACAUCUAUUACACCUGUCAUUGACGUUGCGACCGACUCCAAUGCGUUUUGUCGUUGUGCUACAACACGGAUGCUGUGCAUCUCUUAGCAUUUACUGUAUGCUUCAUAGGUUCAAUAUUUAUUUUUGCAUCUAAGUUAUUUAUUUAUUCAUUCUUGUGUAUAAGGAUGUGUUUUUGACCCAUUAUAUAUAGAUAUAUAUUUAUUAACGUGUAUAAUAAUAAUGUUUAUUUGCUUCAUUCCCACCUCAUUUGUUAUUUGAAAUCGGCAAGGCUUUGAUUAAAAAAACAACAACAACAACAACAACAACAACACGCUAAAACCUUUCAAAAAGAAGCCUUUUUUAAUGUUUAUUUUUUAAGAUGUGAAGAGUUUCUAUAAGGAGUUAUAAAACGUUCCGGGUCAGAAUCGAGCUAAUUAAUGUGUGUAUCAUCACACUGACCGCUCGCCUUGUUGCUAUUUACUCUCCCUUUAAAGAAAAGCUGCUCUCGAGGAAAUACUCCAAUGUACAACAGUAGUUAUAGUAGACAUUUAUUAGUUUUUACACAGUAUUUGCAUAUUAUUAUUAUUAUUAUUAUUAUUAUUAUUAUUAUU
Long non-coding RNA from Ictalurus punctatus (channel catfish), 1220 nucleotides. The record is from Ensembl. NCBI's taxonomy places the organism in Eukaryota, Metazoa, Chordata, Actinopteri, Siluriformes, Ictaluridae.